This 253-nucleotide ribosomal RNA is filed under the name uncultured bacterium. RNAcentral describes it as "partial 16S ribosomal RNA". It matches the Rfam family "Bacterial small subunit ribosomal RNA", at positions 524 to 776 of the family's 1533-position model. The record is from RNAcentral.
UACGUAGGGUGCAAGCGUUGUUCGGAAUUACUGGGCGUAAAGGGCUCGUAGGCGGCCAACUAAGUCAGACGUGAAAUCCCUCGGCUUAACCGGGGGACUGCGUCUGAUACUGGAUGGCCUGAGAUUGGGAGAGGGAUGCGGAAUUCCAGGUGUAGCGGUGAAAUGCGUAGAUAUCGGGAGGAACACCAGUGGCGUAAGCGAUUACCUGGGCUAGACCUGACGCUGAGGGACGAAGGCGUGGGAAGCAAACGGG